CCUACGGGCGGCAGCAGUGGGGAAUAUUGGACAAUGGGGGGAACCCUGAUCCAGCGACGCCGCGUGAGUGAAGAAGUAUUUCGGUAUGUAAAGCUCUAUCAGCAGGGAAGAAAAUGACGGUACCUGACUAAGAAGCCCCGGCUAACUACGUGCCAGCAGCCGCGGUAAUACGUAGGGGGCAAGCGUUAUCCGGAUUUACUGGGUGUAAGGGGAGCGUAGACGGUGCAGCAAGUCUGAUGUGAAAGGUCGGGGCUCAACCCCGGGACUGCAUUUGAAACUGUUGAACUGGAGUACAGGAGAGGUAAGCGGAAUUCCUAGUGUAGCGGUGAAAUGCGUAGAGAUUAGGAGGAACACCAGUGGCGAAGGCGGCUUACUGGACUGUAACUGACGUUGAGGCUCGAAAGCGUGGGGAGCAAACAGGAUUAGAUACCCGAGUAGUC
This 440-nucleotide ribosomal RNA is filed under the name uncultured bacterium. Its description in RNAcentral is "partial 16S ribosomal RNA". It matches the Rfam family "Bacterial small subunit ribosomal RNA", at positions 338 to 795 of the family's 1533-position model. The record is from RNAcentral.